This 71-nucleotide transfer RNA is filed under the name Capra hircus (goat). Its description in RNAcentral is "tRNA-Gly". It matches the Rfam family "tRNA". Rfam says of the family: Transfer RNA (tRNA) molecules are approximately 80 nucleotides in length. Their secondary structure includes four short double-helical elements and three loops (D, anti-codon, and T loops). Further hydrogen bonds mediate the characteristic L-shaped molecular structure. tRNAs have two regions of fundamental functional importance: the anti-codon, which is responsible for specific mRNA codon recognition, and the 3' end, to which the tRNAs corresponding amino acid is attached (by aminoacyl-tRNA synthetases). tRNAs cope with the degeneracy of the genetic code in two manners: having more than one tRNA (with a specific anti-codon) for a particular amino acid; and 'wobble' base-pairing, i.e. permitting non-standard base-pairing at the 3rd anti-codon position. Lineage: Eukaryota; Metazoa; Chordata; Mammalia; Artiodactyla; Bovidae. The record is from RNAcentral. RNAcentral also lists the same sequence under 1 other name.
UCCCAGGUGGCUCAGUGGUAAAGAAUCUGCCUGCCAAGCAGAUGACAUGGGUUUGAUCCCCGGUUUGGGAA